GAGUGACGUCAGAUGGUAUGGCGACACCGUAGGACCAAAAAGCCAAGCGAAACGAAAUGACACCCAAUGGUGAAAACUAAUGUACCAACACAGUGUCCAAGAUGCAGCACUGACACAAGUCAUGCAGUUCUCAGGCGCUGUACAUCUCUACAAACUGUGGAUGCAGUAGAGAUGUAACUGUCAGGUCAGGAACUCAGAGUGUUGCCACGCCUUGAAAAAAAGCCCUUCAACAAAAGGCCUUUGUCUGUGUCUGUCCAAGUCAGGCUACACGAAGUCAAAAUCUCCAAAAACCGUGGAAAGUUUUGCUGUAAUUAUAUCAUGUGCACAUUGCUUCAUGUUAAAAUAUCCAAGGCUGAGUUGGUCUGUUGUGCCUAGUAGCUGUUGCUAGGCUAUGGCU
Molecule: long non-coding RNA, 397 nt
Organism: Betta splendens (Siamese fighting fish)
Lineage: Eukaryota; Metazoa; Chordata; Actinopteri; Anabantiformes; Osphronemidae
Exons: 4
Source: RefSeq, a predicted model, not a curated record